Molecule: long non-coding RNA, 2301 nt
Filed under: Canis lupus familiaris (dog)
Lineage: Eukaryota; Metazoa; Chordata; Mammalia; Carnivora; Canidae
Description: lncRNA (ENSCAFG00040001752.1)
Source: RNAcentral
AUGCCUCCAUCACCACCACCAUCAUCAAUCAAGAAACACUUGCCUCACACCUCCUCUGGAGCACACUGGAUGAAGAAACUGAGACUUGGAGAAGUCAAGGGGCCUGAAGCCAUUUGGCUCCUUAGUAGGGUAAGUUCUCUAGCCUCUGGGGCUCUUGGUAAAAUCAGUACAGUAGACCGAAUGUUCCAUCUCUAUUCAAAUGUUCACUUUCACAAAAUGUCCUUUUGUUUCUCAUGAUCUGAUUGUUUUACAUUAACAUGUUUCAUCGAGACUUAAGAAAUGUUUUUUAUAGAUGCUGAAAUGAGGCAGGUAGAACCAUAUGUCUUUGCUAGCCUUUGUCAGUGGAACCCCCCCCCAACCCCCAGCUUUGAGGAGUCAUACUUUGGGGCUCAGUCCCACCAUGCGGGAACUAGAUCUGUCUGCUUCAGAAGGGCUUGAGGCUUUCAGAACCACCAUGGCAAUGAAAAGAUCUUGAGCCACGGUAGUAUCAGUUCUGUGGUGGGAAUAAUUAUGUCACCAUUUGUGUGACAGGGCCAUAGUCCUUCAUAAGGGCAGAGGUGCAUGCUCUCCACUAAGAUCAACAUUAAAUUCAAGGAAAGGGACAAGGGGAAAUGACAACUAUUCGAGACAGAAGUGCUCCCAAGGGAAAGUCAGGAGAUAAGAUGGCAUGACAAGAAAGAACAUGCCUUUUCUAACUCCACCAGUACCAGUGUGACCCUUGGCAUGACACACUCUCUCUGAGCUUUUGUCUCCAUGUCCUUGGGAAGAGGUUGAACAACACAUCUGGCUCUAAGGUCCCUAUCUGCUCAAACUUUUAAAACCUCUAAGUGGUAAGAAUUCCAUUUUACUGUCAAAAGGCUCACUUUAUUAACAUUGCUUUCUUUAUGGGUAAACAUGUAAAAAGGCUUGUAACCAAGUCACUUUUGUCUUGAUGGGCUUUUUUAUAAUGCCUUCUUAUUUUCCAAGAGAAGUGCUGUAUUUUACUUAAUCUUUCAAUCACAAUUGCAGAUAGGAGCCAUGUUUGUCUAGGUCCAUUUGGCCUAUUGGACUGUUCCCUGAAAUAUCAUAAAAAAUACAUAGUUCUUAUUCUCCAUCUGUUGUUUCAUCCAACUUUUCUUUUUUUCUACUCCAGCAUUUUAUUUGCCACAACCAAGCCAGCUCCAGGGCAGGAAGGGAUUCACAAACCCUCCAAUCUGGAAGUCACUGAGAUUUCUGACCAACAUUCUGGGUUGUGUUGAAAUGAAGAAAAUAAGAUGAGUUCUCCAAACUCAUUUAAAUGGCUAAAAUUAUAUAGCCAUCCCCCAAAGCAAAUAUUUAAGUUCUAACACACUGAGAGAAAAUAGGAUGAUUAUUAUUAAUUAUUAUUAAUUGAGGCCUCCUAUUUUGCUUGUUGACUCUUUCAUACUAGUCCAUCACUGAGUCUGUGAAUCAGACCUCCUAAAAUAACCUGAUUGGGGCAAAUUCAACACAUUUUAGUUUAAUUUUCUCCAAUUCAAAUACAACUUGCACAAUGAGGUGAGUGUCUAACAAUUCAAAGGAACAAACCAUUAAAUUAAAAUUCCUAACUUGAUUGUUUGAAUCACACUGGGCUAAAUUUACAUCUUCCAUAACACUGUGGGAAUUCACUCUGUGGGAGAUUUUUCUAGCUACAUUUUUUUUUUAGCAAACCUUUUCUUUUCUCCUCUUUUUUAAAGGGUGAAUUACUUGUCGCUGUACCUUUAACGAUAAGAUGAAAGAAAUAAAAACUGGGCUCCAGGAGAAAACAAUGAGGCAAUAAUUCUGAAAUUAAAAUACAGAACAUGAUAUAUCAAUAUAAUUGUCCUGCGUAUGUGAAGAUAACUCUGCUUUGAUGGUGUUAUUUCCUGAGCACGCAAAACCUAAUAAAAUCUGGAGGGCUGAACUGAUGAGAAAUUCAGCGUUAGAGAUUAUGAAAAACACACACUAAAAUAGCCAAACAAAAUUACUGAAAAACAAUUUUAGUGGCAAAUUAUUUAUCUAAGUAAUGCAGGAAGAUUUAUAGAGAUCUUCCAACAUUAAAAUAAAUUAGUUACUUAAAAAACUUAACUUCUUUGACAAAGGAAAGUGAUAUGCUUAUGUAACUCUUUGUUUGACCUUGAGCAACUCAGUUGACAUUUCUGUGCCUCAGGUAUCUUCAUCUUUUAUUAUUCAUCCAUUAGGAAAUUUUUCCUUAAAAUUUCUAUAAUUAUAUCUUUGUGGUGAUAGCUUUUCCCCCUUGUUCUUGAUUCAUCUCAUUUCUUCAAAAUAGAAUUGUUAAUUAUAAAUAGAAAAGAAAGUUUUGGU